Molecule: long non-coding RNA, 1644 nt
Organism: Amaranthus tricolor (Joseph's coat)
Lineage: Eukaryota; Viridiplantae; Streptophyta; Magnoliopsida; Caryophyllales; Amaranthaceae
Exons: 4
Source: RefSeq, a predicted model, not a curated record
CACAUCAAAACCUAAGAACCAAGAGCAUCUUCUUCCUUCUCGCCAUUUUCAGAGAAAAUGGUUGAUUUCUUGCUUGGACUCUGCUACAAUUGAUUAAUCUUCUUCCUCAUUCAAUCCAUUGAUUUUCGAGUGCAAUCCUUGUAAUCUUGAUAUGAAGUUCCAAAGAAUUCAGCCCUAGCAUAGCCUCCUCCUUUGAAGCUUUCCUUCGAAAAAUAGCAAUGGCGGGAUUCGCACCUUCUUCCUCUUCUUCUUCCUCCAGAAAUUUCGAAAUCUAGGGCAUAAACCCUUUCCUUUUUCGCACAAUAGGGCAAAGCAAGCCUUAAUCAUCUUCUACAUUUGGUUUUCGCAGGAGACACCGCAAAUCUUGCUUGCCUUCAUUUCAUUGAACGAAUCAAUGGGUUUCCCUUUCGAUUGUUUGUGUCAAAUUAAGAAUCAAGCCAUGGCCGUCACAGACCUGAUCUUUCUGAGAAACAAGACGGUGAUGGUCAUUCUUCUUUCCUCUGACUAAUUCUUCAAGCAAACAAUAGCAAGCUUCUUGUUCUUGGUCUCUAGAACCGUAAAUCAAGGGAAACGAUUUCUCUGCGCGCUCUUUCUAGUUGGUAGCCGCGAAUCAAUCACGGCUCUUUGAAGCGUCUUGUUGUUUGAUUACAGAUCGGAACCAGUCGAGAACGAUGGGUUAGCGGUGUUUAAUAGCGUUCCAAGGAUGCAUAUUGAGCUGAGCACGUGGAAAUUUGUAGUUUUGUAUUAGGUUUUUGGAUAAAUGUAUAUUAGUCUUGGUAGUGUUGGUUAUAUGGGAAUCGAAGUGAAUUGUAUGAUUACUUGUGUUUUAGUUAGAUGUUUGGUUUGAGAAUUAGCUGAGUUAGUUACGUUGAAAAGCUGGUGUCCCCUUUGCUCAAGUUUUGAAAGUGUGAUUUAAGUUUCUUGGGAAAUGAACCCAGUGAUGACCCUGUUUACUCAGUCAACGGUAAGUCGGGUUGUUACACUUUCUCCAACAACUAUUUUUUCAUUCAUGAAGUAUUUUAAUUCUAUUAAAAUACAUUUAUGCUCUUUGACUAAGUUUGUGAUGGUUGAAUUAGAGUUGUUGGAACGUGCCUAUAUAAAGUUGGUGUUUCAUCAUUUUGAAAAUAUACAAUUUCUCAUCUCUUUUUCUAUUCACUUGUGCAAGAGUGGAAUUUGCUCCACACCUCAAGUAGUAGGUGUACAUUACUUUUGCUGGGUGUGUUGACCUUGGGAAAGUCCCCUCUUUUUACACUUGGGAUCGUCAGAAUUAACAUUCUUAAUGCAACGACAAGUUCGUGUCACACCAUACAUUUCGUUAUCAAACACAUGCUAAACACAACUCUAAGCACAUUUUUCAUAUACAAAUGUUAUGCGUAUCAUUAUUAAUAAUAUGGAUUAACAAUUGUAGUCAUAAGAAGAUUUUGAGAAGACUUUGAAUUGGUCUAUAUUUCCAACAAUUUAAUAAAAUUAUUAUUAUUUUAUGGCUUAUCUAGUAUAUAAUUUGAGUAAUUUGCAAAGAGGAAAGAUAAAUUAUUGGUGCAAUUGAGCAGGGGCGUAUCUAUAUAUGGGCACCCCUGGCACGUGCCGGGGGAAAAUUUUAAAAAAAAUCGAAAAUCAGGAUUGAAUGGGCGCGUGAUUUUUCAG